AAUAGAUACCCGGGUAGUCCACCCCGUAAACGUUGGGAACUAGUUGUGGGGUCCAUUCCACGGAUUCCGUGACGCAGCUAACGCAUUAAGUUCCCCGCCUGGGGAGUACGGCCGCAAGGCUAAGACUCAAAGGAAUUGACGGGGACCCGCACAAGCGGCGGAGCAUGCGGAUUAAUUCGAUGCAACGCGAAGAACCUUACCAAGGCUUGACAUAUACGAGAACGGGCCAGAAAUGGUCAACUCUUUGGACACUCGUAAACAGGUGGUGCAUGGUUGUCGUCAGCUCGUGUCGUGAGAUGUUGGGUUAAGUCCCGCAACGAGCGCAACCCUCGUUCUAUGUUGCCAGCACGUAAUGGUGGGAACUCAUGGGAUACUGCCGGGGUCAACUCGGAGGAAGGUGGGGAUGACGUCAAAUCAUCAUGCCCCUUAUGUCUUGGGCUUCACGCAUGCUACAAUGGCCGGUACAAUGGGCAGCGAUACCGUGAGGUGGAGCGAAUCCCAAAAAGCCGGUCCAGUUCGGAUUGAGGUCUGCAACUCGA
Molecule: ribosomal RNA, 539 nt
Filed under: uncultured bacterium
Lineage: Bacteria
Description: bacterial SSU rRNA
Rfam family: Bacterial small subunit ribosomal RNA
Source: RNAcentral